CCAUCAGAUUCCCCUAGUAACGGCGAGUGAAGCGGGAAGAGCUCAAAUUUGAAAUCUGGUAGCCUUCGGUUGCCCGAGUUGUAAUCUAGAGAAGUGUUUUCCGUGCCGGCCCAUGUACAAGUCCCUUGGAACAGGGCGUCAUAGAGGGUGAGAAUCCCGUCCUUGACAUGGACCCCCGGUGCUCUGUGAUACACUUUCAACGAGUCGAGUUGUUUGGGAAUGCAGCUCAAAAUGGGUGGUGAAUUCCAUCUAAAGCUAAAUAUUGGCGAGAGACCGAUAGCGAACAAGUACCGUGAGGGAAAGAUGAAAAGCACUUUGGAAAGAGAGUUAAACAGUACGUGAAAUUGUUGAAAGGGAAACGAUUGAAGUCAGUCAUGCUCUUUGGUAUUUAUAUCAUUGAGUGGGGUCAACAUCAGUUUUGAGCGAUGGAUAAAGGCACUAGGAAGGUAGCACUCUCGGGUGAACUUAUAGCCUAGCGUCAUAUACAUUGUUUGGGACUGAGGAACGCAGCAUGCCUUAUGGCCGGGAUUCAUCCACCUACAUGCUUACGAUGUUGACAUAAUGGCUGUAUACGACCCGCCAUAAAAAAAGGACCAAACAAAAGAAAACCGAGAGGAACACA
Molecule: ribosomal RNA, 622 nt
Filed under: Naganishia albidosimilis
Lineage: Eukaryota; Fungi; Basidiomycota; Tremellomycetes; Filobasidiales; Filobasidiaceae
Description: partial 26S ribosomal RNA
Rfam family: Eukaryotic large subunit ribosomal RNA
Source: RNAcentral